This 394-nucleotide ribosomal RNA is filed under the name Salmonella enterica subsp. enterica serovar Agona. RNAcentral describes it as "partial 23S ribosomal RNA". It matches the Rfam family "Bacterial large subunit ribosomal RNA", at positions 145 to 577 of the family's 2925-position model. Lineage: Bacteria; Pseudomonadati; Pseudomonadota; Gammaproteobacteria; Enterobacterales; Enterobacteriaceae. The record is from RNAcentral.
ACACUAUCAUUAACUGAAUCCAUAGGUUAAUGAGGCGAACCGGGGGAACUGAAACAUCUAAGUACCCCGAGGAAAAGAAAUCAACCGAGAUUCCCCCAGUAGCGGCGAGCGAACGGGGAGGAGCCCAGAGCCUGAAUCAGCAUGUGUGUUAGUGGAAGCGUCUGGAAAGGCGCGCGAUACAGGGUGACAGCCCCGUACACAAAAGCGCAUGUGCUGUGAGCUCGAUGAGUAGGGCGGGACACGUGGUAUCCUGUCUGAAUAUGGGGGGACCAUCCUCCAAGGCUAAAUACUCCUGACUGACCGAUAGUGAACCAGUACCGUGAGGGAAAGGCGAAAAGAACCCCGGCGAGGGGAGUGAAAAAGAACCUGAAACCGUGUACGUACAAGCAGUGGG